RNAcentral lists this non-coding RNA (29 nucleotides) under Homo sapiens (human). Lineage: Eukaryota; Metazoa; Chordata; Mammalia; Primates; Hominidae. The record is from RNAcentral.
CCUGCCUGCGUAUGUAAUGGUGGCUGAUG